Polypterus senegalus (gray bichir) is the source of this 397-nucleotide non-coding RNA. Lineage: Eukaryota; Metazoa; Chordata; Cladistia; Polypteriformes; Polypteridae. The record is from the annotation of a RefSeq genome assembly.
CAAUAUGGCAAAGUCAUUAUAUCCGAUAUUAAAAAUAAUAACCUUACAUACUGUGUGGAUAAUAUUUACUUCUUGUCUUUUUGAUGUACAUGCUGAAAUAAAGCUGGAACAGUCAGGUCCCAUAAUUCUAAAACCUGGGCAGUCACAUCAGUUAUCAUGUAAAGCCUCUGGGUUUACAUUCAGUAGCUACUACAUGAACUGGGUCCGUCAAUCGCAAGCAAAAGGACUGGAAUGGGUGGGAGGAAUAUACACUGAUGGCAGUGUCAAAGAAUAUGCGUCAUCUGUAAAGGACAGAUUCACUAUCAACAGAGACAAUUCUAAGGACAUGCUGUAUUUAGACAUGAACAAUGUACAGAUUGCAGACACGGCUGUUUACUACUGUGCUCGCACGGUGUGA